UCUGCUUUGGAAUUCCACUGUUCAGUUCUGAAUUAAACCGGAAAGUUUGUAGGAAAAUUGCUACACAUGGCCUUUGCAGAAAAGAGAGCCUUCAAAACCUCUUACAUUCCAGUAGAAAACUCUCUCUGCAAGUCCUUAACUUUGUUCACUCAUUCCAGGUAACAAAAACCAAAAAGUGGAAAUGGUACUUGUGCAGAACUUGAAGUAUGCGUAACACUUCUAUGUUUGCUUUUGAGUCACCACAGCGGCAAGAUAGGAAAUAAACAUUAAUUUUAUUGUACAAGUGAAGACAUUGAGAUUCAAGAAGUUAAUGGACUUGCACAUUUCACUGGCCAGGUCUUUGGAGACCAAAGCUUGAUCUCUUUGCUCUGUGCCAGUGCUUUAUUCAACAGAAAUGUGUUAAGUGUCUUUUAUGGGCUGUGAGCCGUGCUAGGUGUCAGUUUUUGGUUAUAGUGCACUUCCCAAUAACUAAAGCAAUUCUCCACUGCCGGGGUAGGCUGUCUGUUGUGGCAGUGAAGGCCAGUGCUCUGGACUUUUUGUCUUUCCCCCAUCCCCAAGGAAAGAAAGAAUAUUCUAGACUUGAUUUAUAGGUAAACUUUUAAAAUAGAGUAUUUCUGUUCAGAAUAUCUAAUUCAACGUUAUGAAAUCAAUAUUUUGGAGUUUUACUUCAUUCAUUCAGUUGGUAAAUGCUUGACCCUGACCUAUGCCAGAUUCUUUGCUGAGUGCUGUGGAAACAGUGAUGUGUAAGAUACUAAUGCAACUUAGAGAAUGUUGUGGGAGACAAUAAUCAGAUAAAUAUUAAGAUAUAUAAGUUCUAAAAGAUUUUAAUAAGUACUUUGAAGGAGCCAACUGUGAUGAAAUCUGCAGGUAGACCUAAUUUCAAUAGGUGCAGGAUAAUAUGUAAGCUGAAGCCAAAAAGUUGGAAGAGAAUAUUCCGGCAGAGCUUAGGUCUCUACUUCCUGUGUCUGGGAAAUGUCCAGUGAACAAAGAAACAAAUGAAGCCCAGUGUGGCAGAAACCUCAUGAAAGAGGGGUAGAAGCAAGAGGUGAGGUUGAAGAAGAGGGCCGGAGCAUGGUGUGCAGGGCCUUCUGGCGUGUGUUAGAGAACUAGUAUUUUACGCUGAGUGCAAAGAGAAAUGAUUAAAGACUUUUAAAUGGGAGAGAUGUUAUUUCUGAUGGACUAUUUUAUAAAAAUAGGCAAAAAUGGAAAUUUUAUAAGGAUGUAAUAAAUGGAAAAAUUUCAAAAUUCUGUCAGUACUGGGC
RNAcentral lists this small RNA (1262 nucleotides) under Pongo abelii (Sumatran orangutan). Its description in RNAcentral is "retained intron". The record is from RNAcentral. Lineage: Eukaryota; Metazoa; Chordata; Mammalia; Primates; Hominidae.